UACGAAGGGGCUAGCGUUGCUCGGAAUCACUGGGCGUAAAGCGCACGUAGGCGGAUCUUUAAGUCAGGGUGAAAUCCUGGAGCUCAACUCCAGAACUGCCUCUGAUACUGGGAUCUUGAGUCCGGAAGAGGUAAGUGGAACUGCGAGUGUAGAGGUGAAUUCGUAGAUAUUCGCAAGAACACCAGUGGCGAAGGCCGGCU
RNAcentral lists this ribosomal RNA (200 nucleotides) under uncultured bacterium. RNAcentral's name for it is "partial 16S ribosomal RNA". It matches the Rfam family "Bacterial small subunit ribosomal RNA", at positions 524 to 727 of the family's 1533-position model. The record is from RNAcentral.